Carassius gibelio (silver crucian carp) is the source of this 421-nucleotide long non-coding RNA. RefSeq lists it as uncharacterized. NCBI's taxonomy places the organism in Eukaryota, Metazoa, Chordata, Actinopteri, Cypriniformes, Cyprinidae. The record is from RefSeq and is a predicted model, not a curated record. The transcript is spliced from 2 exons.
UCCUCUGCAACUAUCCGAAAUAAAAUGUUUUUUUAAUGUUUUAUAUUAUUUUGGUUUACUUUAUUGCAAUUAACAAAAAAGCUUUGUGUAUGGUUUAGUUAGAGUGUUAUUUAACCCUGAUGAGAACUUGCAUCUGCUGUAGUUCAGGGACUCACAGAAUGAGGGUUUUGUGUCUGGUUUCCUCCGCUUGGGUGUGAAAGCAGAGAAAAAAUGAGGAUCAAUAUUAUCCUCACUAGUUUUUUCAUCUUUUUUUCUCUUUCCAGUGUAGCUCUUCUCCUGCCCUUUCUCUGCUUUACCUUUACUCUCUAUAACUAGGAUAAAGAAAAGAAUAAAAAUUAACUGUACAUACUGUAUGAAACCAUUCUUGCUUUAUCAUUGCACAGUAAUGUAUCAUGGCAGCUUGUGCCUCUAGAUAACAAAA